GCGUGUUUAUCAAGAAUGAUAGAAACAAGAUUGCGCAAUGCGCAUGUUUGCUUUCAGUCAGCUGUUCUUGCUGACGUCACGGUUGACUUAUUAUUCGCCCGCGCCUUUGAAUGUGAAAGAAAUUUGCAGUUUGAAAUGGGUUUAAGUUCGCCGAGUCUAACGAAGUUGCUACCUAGCGCUUUUCUCACGUUAACCAGAUUAACUCCUGCAGAGGCUAAUGAACGGCAGAAAAGGAUGGAGUCUCGUUUAAACCACUGUUUCUAAUCCUAAUUGCAAUAUUUUUCAACGUGUGUCAGUUGAUCUAUUCUGACCCAAUUGAAAAAAAUGAUGACUUGAAGAUUAUCAACAACGACGAGCUUGAAAAUUUGGCAGGGUACAUCUGCCACAAACUUGGUAAGGACAACCCCGAAAUUUGUGCCAAUUCAGAAAAUUGUUCGUCUUAUACUUGGGUGGAUCACCUAUCUGAAGGAGGACUCUCAAAACCAACAGAUAUGUUCAUGGAGCAUAUGAGAGGCUUGCAAGCAGUAUUUGGCGACUUAAAAGGUACUGAUUUGCAUAUGUAUAUGUACAAAUUACGUCCAGAAGCACUUAGAUUUAAGUAAUUUUGUAAAUUGUAGCACCAAAG
Long non-coding RNA from Bactrocera tryoni, 625 nucleotides. RefSeq lists it as uncharacterized. Lineage: Eukaryota; Metazoa; Arthropoda; Insecta; Diptera; Tephritidae. The record is from RefSeq and is a predicted model, not a curated record. The transcript has 3 exons.